AGAGGAAAGAAAAUAUCCUUCCCUUUCUUUAUAUGCUAGGAGCUUCUACAUUUUCUUUCCUGCUUCUCAGAUUUUGUGAACACUGACAUCUCUGGCAAAGUCCUGGACUGUCAGUGACUGGGGACAUGUGAUGCUCAGUGGAUCUGUCUCCAUGGCUGUGGUAUCAAUUCUUCAGGGCUCCUAAUAGCCAGUCAGGGUAAAUCAAGAAACCCGUGAUUAUUGUCUGUUCCUUUGAAAUGCCUCUGCUGCUGCUGCUGCUGCUGCAGGAAGAAAGACAGAGAGGCAUGCAGUCCUCGCACGCUGGCAUUGCUGUUGCCUGUUUUAACGAGCCAUGGCAACCAAGAAGAGAGGAUCCUGGGGCAUCUCAGCUCUCAGGGUGCCAUCUGCUGCGGCUCAGCUGAAAAAGCCCCCAUCUCCCCGUGUUUGGUGGGAAGGCGGUAGGAGGAGUGAAGCAGAUGUCUGCUUUCUGUCUCUGACAGGGGACCCAAUCCAUUGCUUUUUGACGUCAAUAGCACUGUGGCUUUUUCAAGGGCAUGCAUAUAUCUUGUCAAUGUAGCUUAACAAGCCUGCAUCACUUCUCUGCUCUGGUCUUGCACAGGACCAUGUAGUCUGCAAACACUAUAACCUCUUUUUCCUGUCAACAAGCAGAAGAAAAAAAACCAUUGGAUUCUCACGUGAUGAAACAGCAGAAGGAAGAAACAGAGAGGAAAAGAGCAGAAAUAAAAUGUCAGAUAGAGGAAGAGAGCA
This 747-nucleotide long non-coding RNA is filed under the name Anser brachyrhynchus (Pink-footed goose). RNAcentral's name for it is "lncRNA (ENSABRG00000012649.1)". The record is from RNAcentral. Lineage: Eukaryota; Metazoa; Chordata; Aves; Anseriformes; Anatidae.